This 58-nucleotide transfer RNA is filed under the name Cricetulus griseus (Chinese hamster). It matches the Rfam family "tRNA", at positions 8 to 63 of the family's 71-position model. From Rfam's summary of the family: Transfer RNA (tRNA) molecules are approximately 80 nucleotides in length. Their secondary structure includes four short double-helical elements and three loops (D, anti-codon, and T loops). RNAcentral also lists the same sequence under 1 other name. Lineage: Eukaryota; Metazoa; Chordata; Mammalia; Rodentia; Cricetidae. The record is from Rfam by way of RNAcentral.
UGGCUCAGUGGUUAAGAGCACUGGCUGCUCUUCCAGAGGACCUGAGUUCAAUUCUCAG